RNAcentral lists this transfer RNA (71 nucleotides) under Aureococcus anophagefferens. Lineage: Eukaryota; Pelagophyceae; Pelagomonadales; Pelagomonadaceae. The record is from RNAcentral.
UUUUGCCCUGUACGCAUAAUUGCAGCGCCGCCUGUUGGCAUUUCAAAAAUUUGAGAUUUUGAGCUACUCCA